This 253-nucleotide ribosomal RNA is filed under the name uncultured bacterium. Its description in RNAcentral is "partial 16S ribosomal RNA". It matches the Rfam family "Bacterial small subunit ribosomal RNA", at positions 524 to 776 of the family's 1533-position model. The record is from RNAcentral.
UACGUAGGGGGCAAGCGUUAUCCGGAUUUACUGGGUGUAAAGGGAGCGUAGACGGCAUGGCAAGCCAGAUGUGAAAUACCGGGGCUCAACCCCGGGACUGCAUUUGGAACUGUUAAGCUGGAGUGUCGGAGAGGCAGGCGGAAUUCCUAGUGUAGCUGUGAAAUGCGUAGAUAUUAGGAGGAACACCAGUGGCGAAGGCGGCCUGCUGGACGAUAACUGACGUUGAGGCUCGAAAGCGUGGGGAGCAAACAGG